GGCGCAUCGGGCCGUUCGAGGAAGGCAGACUGUGAAAGGACUUGGGGCAAAGAUGAGGCGGAGUAGAGGCGGCCUGAGCAGAGCAGAACAACUUUGAUAUUUAGUUUUAUUUAACUCGCAGUCCUCUCCUUGCUCCCCUUCCCCAAAACAACUUUCUCUUCCGGGGUCAGACAGGACCGCCCCGAAGCGUACCUUACGCGCCGGGGGCGCCAGGCGCUACGGGAUUCGGUGUAGUUUUGAGGCGUUUGCACCGCCCUCGCAGCUGCUUUCGUGGCUGCCCGUGUGCCCGCUGCUCACGGCUGCCCCAGAAGUGUGAGCGAGCCGCGCCCGGCCCCUGCCCUGCCCUCUGGUCCUCGGGCACCGCCUGCAGGCUUUGUAACUUCGGAGCACAUCCCCGGUGAUCAUGGUUUAUGCAGUGAGUGACAGUAAAUCCUCCUCCCUGUGCCACCAAAGGCAUAGGAGUCUGAGAGUCUGCAAGAUUCUCAUAGAUGUGGUUGCACCCGGCCAGGAGCCCAACUGCAGAAAUAAGCAGGCAAAAGCGAGUUUCUGAGCCAGUUCCAGCCCGGCCCAGAUGUUGGCCCCUGACAACUAGCUGGGGCUCGUGCGGAGGGAGGAGCGAGGGAAGACGGACAGAUCGAGGCUGCCAGAAACACAUAUGAAGCUCAUUUCUGCCACCCUUCCUAGAAAACUGGUUCCUGACAGGGACAUGUUGAAAGAUUGGAUAAUAUAUACUGUUCCAGCUUCAAGUUUACUGGUUCUUCUGUCAUCUUCAAAUUGCUGCUAAGCCCAUCAGAAAUGCAA
Molecule: long non-coding RNA, 801 nt
Organism: Nomascus leucogenys (northern white-cheeked gibbon)
Lineage: Eukaryota; Metazoa; Chordata; Mammalia; Primates; Hylobatidae
Source: RefSeq, a predicted model, not a curated record